GUGCCAGCAGCCGCGGUAAAACGUAGGAGGCGAGCGUUAUCCGGAUUUACUGGGCGUAAAGCGCACGCAGGUGGCUUAGCAAGUCGGACAUGAAAGCUCCUGGCUUAACUGGGAGAGGUGGUUCGAAACUGCUGAGCUUGAGGUUGGGAGAGGGACGUGGAAUUCCCGGUGUAGUGGUGGAAUGCGUAGAUAUCGGGAGGAACACCAGUGGCGCAAGCGGCGUCCUGGCCCACACCUGACGCUGAGGUGCGAAAGCGUGGGGAGCAAACAGGAUUAGAUACCCGCGUAGUCC
Molecule: ribosomal RNA, 292 nt
Filed under: uncultured bacterium
Lineage: Bacteria
Description: partial 16S ribosomal RNA
Rfam family: Bacterial small subunit ribosomal RNA
Source: RNAcentral